Molecule: signal recognition particle RNA, 299 nt
Filed under: Oncorhynchus kisutch (coho salmon)
Lineage: Eukaryota; Metazoa; Chordata; Actinopteri; Salmoniformes; Salmonidae
Description: Metazoan signal recognition particle RNA (ENSOKIG00005043376.1)
Rfam family: Metazoan signal recognition particle RNA
About the family: The signal recognition particle (SRP) is a universally conserved ribonucleoprotein. It is involved in the co-translational targeting of proteins to membranes.
Source: Rfam by way of RNAcentral
GCCGGGUGCGGUGGCAUGUGCCUGUAAUCCAAGUCACUGGGAGGCUGAGGUUGGUGGAUCAAGUGAGUUGAGGAGCUCUGGGCUGCAGCACACUAUGUUGAACGGGUGUCCACGCUAAGUUCGGUAUCGAUAUGGUGUUCCAGGGGGAGCCCGGGACCACCAGGUUGUCUAAGGAGGGGUGAACCGGCCCAGGUCGGAAACGAAGCAGGUCAAAUCCCCCGUGCUGUCCAGUAGUUGGAUAAUACCUGUGAGUAGAUGCUGCAGUGCAGCCUUGGCAAAACAUCGAGACCUAAUCUUUA